CUGAGCUCGCGGCGCAAGGUUCUCGUUUGUUUUGGCUUCUGCUAUUCUCAACAGUUCGUUUUGUUGGCAAGUCUUACGCGUCGUGUGAAUUGGGAAUAAAACAAUUGAAAAGUUACGACGAUUUUGCUUAAUAGAACGGAAAAUUUGUUAGCAGCAUUAACGUCGAAAGCUAGCUGCGUUCUGAUCUGUUCUGUCUGAUUUCUUAACACACACUCCGACAAAACGUGGGCGACAUCUGUCAGAAGCCUGCUAGAUUCCAUUCAAAAUCUACACACUUAUCGAAGCGUAGCGUCUAGAAAAGGCGCUGCCAACUCCUGAUUUUACGCUCGUGCGUUUGCUUUACACGUUUGUGUGCCCGUCGCCACGCCCCGUUGAGGCGUGCGCCCAUCAAGCAGUCAAGACGACUUACUCGAUUAUGAAGAUGAGCUCGCCCAGGAUCAUGCAGCAGAAACGAAGUAGUAAAUCCUCCAAUACGUCCAGGGUCUCGAUGACCACCUCGACGGCGGAGGAGAAUCUCAUCGAGUCGAAGCUCUUUAGCUGGAUGCGGCUCUUCCGCUUUGCCUCGCUGCUCUGUCGCGCCGAGUAGGAAAAUAAACAUAUAUAUGUAUUAAGAAACCCCCAACCUAAUAACAUAAUGAAAAUGCAUUAUACAUAUAUAAAAAAAAAGAUAAAGUAACAAAGUAACAGAUACUCGUGCUAGUUGCCGCUUUCAAUUCAAGUUUUCCUAUUAUGCUUAUAAAAAAAAAAAAAACAACUACAAAAACAAAAACUUUAAUAAAUUUAAAUGAAAAAAAAAAGAAAAUAUUUAAAAAAAAAUUAUAAACACUUUCUAGAUUCCGCAAUGUAGACAGUAAGAAUUGGAACUUCUUAACGAUUUAAUCAUUUGGCUUUUCUUUAACUUUCACAAUUAAGUCAAUUUUUAGUGUAAAUUCCGCUGGUUUCCGACGGAAGCUAUGCGGAAUUUGUCGCGCCUUUCGUACCUUUUGUAUUGUAAUAAGAAAUAAACAUAUAUGUGUAUAUCUGGAUCGGGUUACAUGUGUAUGAUAUAUGGCAAACCAUUUAAUGUGUUGUUUCUUCGGGUUUUAGUGCUUAAGUUUGAAAACAAUAACAGCAAACCAUAACAACAAGAAAACGAGAUAUAUUUUUGUAAUUUACAACACUGUUUUUGCGUGUCACAAAUGAGAAAGCACAUGAAACGUUUAUGCAAAGCAAAUAAAAAUAAAUACAAAUUUAACUAAAUGCUAAAACGCAAUACUAACAAUAAUAACACAAUAUAUGUAUACAUAUAGAGGAAUAUAUUUACAGAAAAUGCGCUUAGCCAACACUCAAAUACAAUACACACACACACACACACUUAGGCCCAAUCAAUAUAAAUUCAUAUACUUUCUACUCCCCCCAACAAGUAAUUGUAAAUUGCAUUUAAUCCAAAGAUGUUGCCAAUCAAGAGUAGAACAAUUUGAAAACCAUUUAAAUAAAAUAUAAAAUAAAAAUAAAAACAAAUAUCUAAAUGCAAUAUUGUUUUAAUAGUCUUUCAAUUAAACCUAACCUCAAUGAACAAAUAACAAUAACAAGCAACAGCAACAACAAAUAUCAUAAAUUUGUGAACCUUAUUUCUAUUAAUUAAUAAUUAUUAAUUAGUGUGUAAGCAAUGCAAUAAAUGCAAACACUGUACUAAAAACAUGGCAAAAAUAAUGCUUAAAAGCAGAAAAAUGUUGACAAGAUAUACAAUGCAAUAAAUCGAUAACGAUAAAUAAAUAAAA
Drosophila virilis is the source of this 1760-nucleotide non-coding RNA. The record is from RefSeq and is a predicted model, not a curated record. NCBI's taxonomy places the organism in Eukaryota, Metazoa, Arthropoda, Insecta, Diptera, Drosophilidae.